Molecule: ribosomal RNA, 497 nt
Filed under: uncultured bacterium
Lineage: Bacteria
Description: partial 16S ribosomal RNA
Rfam family: Bacterial small subunit ribosomal RNA
Source: RNAcentral
GAUGAACGCUGGCGGCGUGCCUAAUACAUGCCAGUCGAGCGAACAGACGAGGAGCUUGCUCCCCUGACGUUAGCGGCGGACGGGCGAGUAACACGUGGAUAACCUACUUAUAAGACUGGGAUAACUACGGGAAACCGGAGCUAAUACCGGAUAAUAUAUUGAACCGCAUGGUUCAAUAGUGCAAGACGGCUUUGCUGUCACUUAUAGAUGGAUCCGCGCCGCAUUAGCUAGUUGGUAAGGUAACGGCUUACCAAGGCAACGAUGCGUAGCCGACCUGAGAGGGUGAUCAGCCACACUGGAACUGAGACACGGUCCAGACUCCUACGGGAGGCAGCAGUGGGGAAUCUUCCGCAAUGGGCGAAAGCCUGACGGAGCAACGCCGCGUGAGUGAAGAAGGUCUUCGGAUCGUAAAGCUCUGUUAUUGGGGAAGAACAGAUGUAUAAGUAACUAUGCACGUCUUGACGGUACCUAAACAGAAAGCCACGGCUAACUACGUG